UCAAGAUGUGUCGUAUUUAGAUUAUUACAAGCAAGUAGGUUCACUGUGGGAAAUCAUUGAGUGAUAAUUUUGACAGCCAGGACAACCCACUAAGAACCAGAUAAUUAUGACAGCCAAGACCACAAUAUCACUACCACGUCACUGGCUUCUGAACUUGAACUGUCUAGCCACUUUGUGUGUGCUUUUAUUGUGCUG
Long non-coding RNA from Halichondria panicea, 195 nucleotides. RefSeq lists it as uncharacterized. The record is from RefSeq and is a predicted model, not a curated record. The transcript is spliced from 5 exons. Lineage: Eukaryota; Metazoa; Porifera; Demospongiae; Suberitida; Halichondriidae.